GCCCAGCCGUAAACUUUAAUUUACAUUCAAAUCGCCAGGGAACUACGAGCCAAGCUUAAAACCCAAAGGACUUGACGGUACCCCAUAUCCCCCUAGAGGAGCCUGUCCUAUAAUCGAUAAUCCACGUUUAACCUCACCAUUUCUAGUUAAUCAGCCUGUAUACCUCCGUCGUCAGCUUACCACGUGAGCGCCAAUUAGUGAGCUUAAUGUCUUUCACCAACACGUCAGGUCAAGGUGCAGCAAAUGAAAUGGGAAGAGAUGGGCUACACUUUCUAUAUUAGAAAAAACGAAAAACUAUUUAUGAAAACUAGUUGGAAGGCGGAUUUAGCAGUAAAAAGGAAUCAGAAUGUCCAUUUUAACCCGGCACUGGGGUGUGUACACACCGCCCGUCACCCUCUUCAAAGCUUCUAACCUAGUUUUUAACAAACUAAGGCAUAACAGAAGAGGCAAGUCGUAACAUGGUAAGUAUACCGGAAGGUGUGCUUGGAAA
Molecule: ribosomal RNA, 490 nt
Filed under: Rhinella icterica (yellow cururu toad)
Lineage: Eukaryota; Metazoa; Chordata; Amphibia; Anura; Bufonidae
Description: partial small subunit ribosomal RNA
Rfam family: Bacterial small subunit ribosomal RNA
Source: RNAcentral